Molecule: long non-coding RNA, 670 nt
Filed under: Linum usitatissimum (flax)
Lineage: Eukaryota; Viridiplantae; Streptophyta; Magnoliopsida; Malpighiales; Linaceae
Description: long non-coding RNA (LUSI_LNC006457)
Source: RNAcentral
AGAGCUUCCUGAUUCUCUACUACUUUCCCCCGAAAUUGAGUUUCAAUCGCCUCUAAUGGCGAUGCCUUAAUCUGUGAUGAACGGCUUGAGCUCUGCCGAUUUCUCAUCCAACGCGAUUCAAUCUAUUUCUAGUAAGAUUUGAACACAGAACUCUCUAUCCCUCUCACUCUCUCUCUCUCUCACUCUCUAUCUUUCAUUCUCUGAUCAGUGAACAAACGUCUCAACUCUGCUAUAUCUGAUCGAUCAACACAUCUCAUCUCUCUCCCAGGCAUCGUAUCAAUGGAUUCAACUUCUGUACAACAACAAACAAAAAGAUCCGAAGAGGAUGAACAGGCUAGCGGUUCUGCUAUUAAUUCAUCUUGAACAAUCCAACAUGAUCAUAAUCUCAAUAAUCUGAACUCUGUUCCUCUAGAUUAGUAUUCAAACGGUUCUUUUGAUUCAUCUCAAUUAUCACUUGUUAUGAUCGAAUUUUGUAAAUUAUUUUGUUAGGCAGUUGCAUAUUUGAAUGAUUCAUAGAAAUGUUCAUAACUAGUUAUGUACACGUUCAUAACCAGUUAUACAUCUGCUCAAUGCCUUUGACUUCUGAUACUGUUUCUAUACAACAAAUAGCCCAAACAUGCUUUUCUGAAUUAUUCAUAUAAAUCUUCAUAACUAGUUAUGUAUACAUUCA